This 867-nucleotide long non-coding RNA is filed under the name Salvia miltiorrhiza (redroot sage). RNAcentral describes it as "long non-coding RNA (SMIL_LNC006868)". Lineage: Eukaryota; Viridiplantae; Streptophyta; Magnoliopsida; Lamiales; Lamiaceae. The record is from RNAcentral.
GCUAGGAUCAUAUAUGAUCAUUUGGAUACUUAUAAAACAUACACAUAAAAGAGAACUGAUUAAGGUGGUUUACCCAAUAACACGUGUAACAACUUCAUAACAUAGAGUUAUCCUAAUCAAAGUGUUUUGCAGCGGAAAACGUGUGAGAUAUACAUAUGAAGAUGUAUACUCAAGGUUACAUUUCUUGAAAUGUCAAAGGACACCCGCUCAACAUCAUUCCAUUCCAUCAGCUGCUCAACCUGCACAUUUAGAAAUACAUGCAGGGCUGAGUAUAAAAAUACUCAGUGGGCAUAGCCGAAAAUACAACAUGCAUACAUAUAUAAAUUGAACUGCCAUAACAGUAACACACAGGGGUUUUCUUAAAUGACCUGCGCUUACUAAAAUAUUUCUUUCAUUUUCAUAAAGUCGAUCGGCCGAUCAUUUUCCUUCAUAUGAUCCAUAUCUGUUCCUUUCUGUCACGCGCCGGGAAGGAGGCCUCCUUACCACGGACGCCAAGACCGGUCGCAAGCGACUCGCGGUCUCCAUGAGUGUACACGUUAACCCUAGCUAGCGACCUUUGUCUAGCAUAGGAUCCCAAUUGGAUUUCCUUUAAAGUUGGCGAACCAACACAGAUAGGAUACAUAUAAAAACAUAAACAUUUUUGGCAGUCAAUCAUUUCAUAAACAUUUCAUUUCAUUUCAUAAACAUUUCAUUUUCAUUUCAUAAGAGUCAUUUAUCAUUUGGGCAUAAUAAUAAACUGAAAUUAACAGUUAAAAUCAUCUCAUGCAUAUAUUCGUAUAAGAGGCCUACGACACGCAGGGGAUCUCUAUAUACGUAUAGUAAAAGUAAUGCCCACCUGGAUAGGCAAAGCCUGAAGAUCAUAAUCAC